GCUUCGACAGAUCGCGUUGGUGUCCUGAAAAGGACUUAAUAGGGAAUGCGCAAAGAGCGUGAGAACGUUCGAUACCGCGGCUGUCCCUGCAACUGUAAGCGGUGAGCGCGAUGUACAUGUGCGGACGGGGACCCCGAGCCGCCAGCCACUGGGCCGGACGCUGCAGCCAGCGAGGCCUGGGAAGGCCGUGCAUCGAGUGAUGACCCGUGAGCCAGGAGACCUGCCAGCGUCCGGUCGCUCUC
RNAcentral lists this non-coding RNA (242 nucleotides) under Sphingobium sp. Lineage: Bacteria; Pseudomonadati; Pseudomonadota; Alphaproteobacteria; Sphingomonadales; Sphingobiaceae. The record is from RNAcentral.